UCACUUUCAACAACGGAUCUCUUGGCUCUCGCAUCGAUGAAGAACGUAGCGAAGUGCGAUAAGUAGUGUGAAUUGCAGAAUUCCGUGAAUCAUCGAAUUUUUGAACGCAAAUUGCGCUUCCUGGCAUCCCGGCAAGUAUGCCUGUUUGAGGGUCAGUAUUAAUA
RNAcentral lists this ribosomal RNA (164 nucleotides) under uncultured Glomus. RNAcentral's name for it is "5.8S ribosomal RNA". It matches the Rfam family "5.8S ribosomal RNA". From Rfam's summary of the family: 5.8S ribosomal RNA (5.8S rRNA) is a component of the large subunit of the eukaryotic ribosome. Lineage: Eukaryota; Fungi; Glomeromycota; Glomeromycetes; Glomerales; Glomeraceae. The record is from RNAcentral.